RNAcentral lists this ribosomal RNA (253 nucleotides) under uncultured bacterium. RNAcentral describes it as "partial 16S ribosomal RNA". It matches the Rfam family "Bacterial small subunit ribosomal RNA", at positions 524 to 776 of the family's 1533-position model. The record is from RNAcentral.
UACGUAGGUGGCAAGCGUUAUCCGGAAUUAUUGGGCGUAAAGCGCGCGUAGGCGGUUUUUUAAGUCUGAUGUGAAAGCCCACGGCUCAACCGUGGAGGGUCAUUGGAAACUGGAAAACUUGAGUGCAGUAGAGGAAAGUGGAAUUCUCAGUGUAGCGGUGAAAUGCGUAGAUAUUGAGAAGAACACCAGUAGCGAAGGCGGCUUUCUGGUCUGUAACUGACGCUGAUGUGCGAAAGCGUGGGGAUCAAACAGG